RNAcentral lists this ribosomal RNA (468 nucleotides) under uncultured bacterium. Its description in RNAcentral is "partial 16S ribosomal RNA". It matches the Rfam family "Bacterial small subunit ribosomal RNA", at positions 28 to 507 of the family's 1533-position model. The record is from RNAcentral.
GACGAACGCUGGCGGCGUGCUUAACACAUGCAAGUCGAACGGAAAGGCCCUGCUUGUGUUGGGUGCUCGAGUGGCGAACGGGUGAGUAACACGUGAGUAACCUGCCCUUGACUUUGGAAUAACUUCAGGAAACUGGGGCUAAUACCGGAUAGGAGCUCCUGCUGCAUGGUGGGGGUUGGAUAGUUUCGGCGGUUGGGGAUGGACUCGCGGCUUAUCAGCUUGUUGGUGGGGUGGUGGCUUACCAAGGCUUUGACGGGUAGCCGGCCUGAGAGGGUGACCGGCCAAAUUGGGACGGAGAUACGGCCCAGACUCCUACGGGAGGCAGCGGUGGGAAAUUUUGCACAAUGGGCGGAAGCCUGAUGCAGCAACGCCGCGGGCGGGAUGACGGCCUUGGGGUUGUAAACCGCUUCCACCGGGGACGAAGCGUGAGUGACGGUAAUGGGUAAAGAAGCACCGGCUAACUACGUG